This 305-nucleotide ribosomal RNA is filed under the name uncultured bacterium. RNAcentral describes it as "bacterial SSU rRNA". It matches the Rfam family "Bacterial small subunit ribosomal RNA", at positions 331 to 654 of the family's 1533-position model. The record is from RNAcentral.
CUUGACCUACGGGGGGCAGCAGUGGGGAAUAUUGCACAAUGGGCGGAAGCCUGAUGCAGCAACGCCGCGUGAAGGAAGAUGGUUUUCGGAUUGUAAACUUCUGUUCUUAGUGAAGAGUAAUGACGGUAACUAAGGAGCAAGCCACGGCUAACUACGUGCCAGCAGCCGCGGUAAUACGUAGGUGGCAAGCGUUGUCCGGAAUUACUGGGUGUAAAGGGAGCGUAGGCGGGAAGCCAAGUCAGCUGUGAAAACUACGGGCUUAACCUGUAGACUGCAGUUGAAACUGGCUUUCUUGAGUGAAGUAG